GACGAACGCUGGCGGCGUGCCUAAUACAUGCAAGUAGAACGCACAGUUUAUACCGUAGCUUGCUACACCAUAGACUGUGAGUUGCGAACGGGUGAGUAACGCGUAGGUAACCUGCCUGGCAGCGGGGGAUAACUAUUGGAAACGAUAGCUAAUACCGCAUAAUAUUAAUUAUUGCAUGAUAAUUAAUUGAAAGGUGCAAUUGCACCACUACCAGAUGGACCUGCGUUGUAUUAGCUAGUAGGUGAGGUAACGGCUCACCUAGGCGACGAUACAUAGCCGACCUGAGAGGGUGAUCGGCCACACUGGGACUGAGACACGGCCCAGACUCCUACGGGAGGCAGCAGUAGGGAAUCUUCGGCAAUAGACGAAAGUCUGACCGAGCAACGCCGCGUGAGUGAAGAAGGUUUUCGGAUCGUAAAGCUCUGUUGUAAGAGAAGAACGGGUGUGAGAGUGGAAAGUUCACACUGUGACGGUAUCUUACCAGAAAGGGACGGCUAACUACGUG
Molecule: ribosomal RNA, 505 nt
Filed under: uncultured bacterium
Lineage: Bacteria
Description: partial 16S ribosomal RNA
Rfam family: Bacterial small subunit ribosomal RNA
Source: RNAcentral